GCGGGGGUAGCCAAGCCUGGCAUGGCGAAGGAUAAGUUUGGGCAAGACCUGAACUCCUUAGUGCUAAUCCUUUGUUCGCAAGGACUCGUGGGUUCGAAUCCCACCCCCCGCG
Molecule: transfer RNA, 112 nt
Filed under: Nitrososphaerota archaeon
Lineage: Archaea; Thermoproteati; Nitrososphaerota
Description: Thaumarchaeota archaeon tRNA-OTHER
Rfam family: tRNA
About the family: Transfer RNA (tRNA) molecules are approximately 80 nucleotides in length. Their secondary structure includes four short double-helical elements and three loops (D, anti-codon, and T loops).
Source: RNAcentral